CUAAACAGUUCCGUAGUAUAACAUAGGUACGAUGUCAUGGCUCCUGAUUUUACGUAUACAAGCGAGCUGAUAAAAUACAUCAUGGAGAUAAUCAAUUUGAACAUAAAGGAAAGAGCAGCUGGAUGGUGUUCAUGGAGAGCAGCAGAAAAAAUGAUACUAAGACAGAUAUUAAGCUUCUUUAAUUGUUACGACGCAGGAUGAAAUUCAGAUACUAUGGUGAGAUAUGUUUACAUCUAUCCGGUUUUAAUCGAUAUGCAAGCUACAUGGAAACAGAUGAACUCGUCAUUUUGUCUCUGAAUUCCUGCUGUUACAGACAGUUUUGUUUGUAUUUUUGAAGAGACCUGGGACUUUCAGAUGAUGGGAAAUUUAUAUUUUCUCUGAAUCAACUUACUAUUGAGAACAGAUUGUUCAAAACCCCAUACCCUUUUUGUGAAAAUAAAUUUACACACUAAUUACUGCACAUAUUAACACAAAGCGC
Molecule: long non-coding RNA, 478 nt
Organism: Anneissia japonica
Lineage: Eukaryota; Metazoa; Echinodermata; Crinoidea; Comatulida; Comatulidae
Exons: 3
Source: RefSeq, a predicted model, not a curated record